ACGGCUCAGUAACACGUGGCUAAUCUGCCCUUAGGACGAGAACAACCCCGGGAAACUGGGGCUAAUUCUCGAUAGGCGAAGAACACUGGAACGUGUCUUCACCCAAACAGUACGGCGUUAUGCUCGUUGCACCGCCUAAGGAUGAGGCCGCGGCCGAUCAGGUUGUUGGUGAGGUAAUGGCUCACCAAGCCUUUUACCGGUGCGGGCCGUGGGAGCGGGAGCCCGGAGAUGGGUACUGAGACAAGGACCCAGGCCCUACGGGGCGCAGCAGUCGCGAAAACUUUGCAAUAGGCGAAAGCCUGACAGGGCUAUCCCGAGUGCCAUCCGCUGAGGAAGGCUUUUACCCAGUCUAGAACGCUGGGGGAAUAAGGAGAGGGCAAGUCUGGUGUCAGCCGCCGCGGUAAUACCAGCUCUCCGAGUGGUGUGGAUGUUUAUUGGGCCUAAAGCAUCCGUAGCUGGCUAAGUUAGUCCCUUGUUAAAUCCACCGAAUUAAUCGUUGGAUCGCGGGGGAUACUGCUUGGCUAGGGGACGAGAGAGGCAGACGGUAUUUUCGGGGUAGGGGUGAAAUCCUAUAAUCCCGGGAAGACCACCAGUGGCGAAGGCUGUCUGCUAGAACGCGCCCGACGGUGGGGGAUGAAAGCUGGGGGAGCGAACCGGAUUAGAUACCCGGGUAGUCCCAGCUGUAAACGAUGCAGACUAGGUGUUUGAACGGCCACGUGCCGUUCUAGUGCCGCAGGGAAGCUGUUAAGUCUGCCGCCUGGGGAGUACGAUCGCAAGAUUGAAACUUAAAGGAAUUGGCGGGGGAGCAC
This 809-nucleotide ribosomal RNA is filed under the name uncultured archaeon. RNAcentral's name for it is "bacterial SSU rRNA". It matches the Rfam family "Archaeal small subunit ribosomal RNA", at positions 85 to 879 of the family's 1478-position model. The record is from RNAcentral.